Molecule: ribosomal RNA, 228 nt
Filed under: uncultured bacterium
Lineage: Bacteria
Description: partial 16S ribosomal RNA
Rfam family: Bacterial small subunit ribosomal RNA
Source: RNAcentral
UACGUAGGGUGCAAGCGUUGUCCGGAAUUAUUGGGCGUAAAGGGCUCGUAGGCGGUUUGUCGCGUCGGGAGUGAAAACCUCGGGCUUAACUCGGGGCUUGCUUUCGAUACGGGCAGACUAGAGGUAUGCAGGGGAGAACGGAAUUCCCGGUGUAGUGGUGAAAUGCGUAGAUAUCGGGAGGAACACCAGUGGCGAAGGCGGCUACCUGGCCCAUUCUUGACGCUGAGG